UAUGAAGAACGUAGCGAAAUGCGAUAAGUAAUGUGAAUUGCAGAAUUCAGUGAAUCAUCGAAUCUUUGAACGCACAUUGCGCCCCCUGGUAUUCCGGGGGGCAUGCCUGUUCGAGCGUCAUUUCACCACUCAAGCCUCGCUUGGUAUUGGGCAUCGCGGUCCGCCGCGCGCCUCAAAUCGCCCGGCUGGGUCUUCUGUCCCCUAAGCGUUGUGGAAACUAUUCGCUAAAGGGUGUUCGGGAGGCUACGCCGUAAAACAACCCCAUUUCUAAGGUUGACCUCGGAUCAGGUAGGGAUACCCGCUGAACUUAAGCAUAUCAAUAAGCGGAGGA
This 331-nucleotide unclassified non-coding RNA is filed under the name soil metagenome. Its description in RNAcentral is "partial contains 5.8S ribosomal RNA, internal transcribed spacer 2, and large subunit ribosomal RNA". The stretch from base 2 to 120 matches the Rfam family "5.8S ribosomal RNA", at positions 36 to 154 of the family's 154-position model. The record is from RNAcentral.